UCCGUAGGUGAACCUGCGGAGGGAUCAUUACAGAGUUCAUGCCCUAUUGGGUAGAUCUCCCACCCUUUGUCUUAUAUACCUCUGUUGCUUUGGCAGUUCUGCUGGUUAAGCGCCCUGCCAGAGGACCCCCAACUCUGAGAGUUAGUGUCGUCUGAGUACUAUAUAAUAGUUAAAACUUUCAACAACGGAUCUCUUGGUUCUGGCAUCGAUGAAGAACGCAGCGAAAUGCGAUAAGUAAUGUGAAUUGCAGAAUUUAGUGAAUCAUCGAAUCUUUGAACGCACAUUGCGCCCCUUGGCAUUCCGAGGGGCAUGCCUGUUCGAGCGUCAUUACAACCCUCAAGCUCUGCUUGGUGUUGGGCAUCGCCAGUCUUGGUGUGCCUUAAAAUCAGUGGCGGUGCCAUCUGGCCCUCAGCAUAGUAGUAUUUCUCUUGCUAUAGGGACCUGGUAGGUGCCUGCCAUUCAACCCCCUAGUUAUUAUCAAGGUUGACCUCGGAUCAGGUAGGGAUAUACCCGCUGAACUUAAGCAUAUC
Molecule: ribosomal RNA, 530 nt
Filed under: uncultured Dermateaceae
Lineage: Eukaryota; Fungi; Ascomycota; Leotiomycetes; Helotiales; Dermateaceae
Description: eukaryotic LSU rRNA
Rfam family: 5.8S ribosomal RNA (bases 174-327)
Source: RNAcentral